This 3071-nucleotide long non-coding RNA is filed under the name Homo sapiens (human). RNAcentral describes it as "HSALNT0395407". Lineage: Eukaryota; Metazoa; Chordata; Mammalia; Primates; Hominidae. The record is from RNAcentral.
CUGGCCUCCCAAAGUGCUGGGAUAACAGGUGUGAGCCACCACCCCUGGCCUAUGAGUGCUUUAAAUAGCAAAAAUGUGAGAUGAAAAAUGGUAGUUCUAUCACUGCCAACAGUUAAAAGAUAAUGAAACCUUACAUUAAUUCAUAUUAGGGUAAGUACCAAGUUUGCCUCUAUUAUGUGUGCCCAAGUAAGCAGCUCUCUGAAAAAUUAUUUAACAAAUGUGCUAAGUUAAAAACAUUCUACUUAGCAGAUUGAGAUAACAAAGUAUUUCCUUUAGACUUUUCUCUCUUAGUGUGAAGCAUGAUGAUUUAGGGUGGGGAAUCGUAAUGAGGCAUAAAUCCUAUGCAGUUUGUAAACAGGACUAUGAUUAAUGCCACUUUUUUAACCCAACUUUUUUAUUAUGAACAAUUUCAUAUGUAAAGUUAAAAGAAUAUUAUAAUGAACACCUGUAUAGCUCCUACCAAGAGCGAACAAUUACUUCUUUAGGAUUUUAAAUGACUGUGCAAGUAUGCAAAGAACCCUAAAGAAAGAAAUAGCAUCUCAUUUUCCAUCCAGUCCUUGCUCAGUAUGUUUGCUGGGCGGCUGUGACAGGCCCUGGGUGUGGAGUCAGCUGCAAGUGCAGAGCUCCCUCUGGGAUGUGAGGUGCUGUUGUCCACGGCCCCGCAGCCCCGGGCUCAAGUCUCAGUGUCCUCACAAAGGGGUUUGUGUCCUCACCGCAACCCACAUGCGACCCACAGCCCAGCCUCGCCUCUCCCUCAACAGCCUGCACCUCCCUGUCCCUCAGCACCUGCUGAGACAUCUGCAAGGGGCCUGUCUGGCCCCGCUGGCCUCUCCCUAUGGAUACCUUAACCGAGAAGGGAAAGACCUCCCACUCAGCCUCCUCACUUUGCAAGCACUGCAGGGUGGUCCAAGGAUGACACGAGGGCACCCAGGUGACAUGCCUGACCCAGUCAGUCCUAAAUAAACGAGAGCUACUCUUCCACAGCCAUCAUCACCACCACCAACCUUUCCUCACUUUCUGGAUUCAACUACCUCCCAAACGCUCUCAAACCUCUCAACCCCACUUCAGACAUGGAGUGCCCCCCUCCUGAAGCUCCUUCGCUCUGCCCUCUUACCACGCGUCCUGACUGCAGCCUCUUCCGUGGCUUCCUGAGCUCAGCUCCAACAUUCUUUAACCUACCUUCCCCAGCAGUGCUAUUUCCGAAGACAAACACCUCCUCAUUCUAGUACGUUGCUUUUAGUGACCAUCCGUGCCUCGCCACUGCUUACCAAUCAAAGCAUCCACUCCUUAGAUGGAGACAAGGCUCUGCACAGCCCGGCCUACGGCUGCUCCUCGUGGCACAGCACAGGGCUCCGGAGAGCUGCCCAUCUGCAGCAGGAGCUACAGUUCUCUAAACAGACAGUGACUCCCACAUUCCCACUGAGAAUUUGUGUAUUCAUUUGGCAAAAACUCAUGAAAAUGCAUCACUACUCAUUGAGCUUGGGAGUCCAAAUCCUGCUGUAACCUGCAGGCUGCAAAACUUCAUAGAGUGGAUUUAAGCUCUCCAAGCCUCAGUUUAUUCACCUGUAAAAUACGGAAUACAUCUCAUAUGUUGCAUGGAUAAAAAUGAAUAAGACAAUGCACAAAGUGCCCCAAACACAAGGAGGGUGAGGAUUCCUUUCCUAAAGAAUCCCACAGCAUAACAGGGAGAGAGGCUGCAAGAGAUCAUGCUACUGAGAGGCACUAAUGCAGGGUCCAUGUGGUGCAGUCACAGGAGACUGCAGAGAGGGGGCAGGGACUGCUCCCAGGAGUGGUGGCAUCUGACCUGUGACUUGAAGCAUAUGAAUUUACUAGUGGUUUCCACAAGAGAAGCGCUCCAGGAAGAGGGAACUGUAUGUGGCUCGCACAUGGGUCUGGGAGCAAAGACAAAUGCCUGUGAAUGGAAGAGACACACACAAGAGAAGGGCUGGAGAGGGAGGAGGGGGUGAGGAGCUCUCUAGGUCCCAUCAAGAGAGCACAGUGAAGCAGAGAGCCUCCUGUCCACCAAGAGGGCAUGCAGAGCCAGGCUCAGGAGUCCCGGCUUCAUUCUGGAUGGGCCCUGUCCAGGUAACAGAGUUAACUGAGGCAUUAUUCUAAGGACAGAGUGGUGGGGGUCAAAUGUGGGGGAAAGAACUGGGAUCAAGGUCUACGUGAAGGAUGAUGUGGCAGCAGGCAUCAAGACAGAAAGGAAGAGGCAAAUGCAUGAAAUCUUCAGAAGUCUAGAAAAGAGCAUCAACUGGACUUGGGAACUGAAUGUGGAGGCUCCGGAUCCAAGACCUCGAAGAGCAGCUCAGGCUGACUGCCUUGCUCAGGGAGGCUGGCCCUCAACAAGAAACAGGAAUUAAGAAAGUAGACAGCUUUGGGAGAAGGGGAGAACACACAGAUGAAAUUAAUAUGCCCCCAAAUUGGAAGCUUUGGAAAAGGGAGGAAUGAAUGCAGCCAGAGAGUAAGAGUGCCGUCACGUCAAAGAGAUUCACAGCAGACUCGGCUAUGCAUGCCAUGUUGUUGGACAGCAUUUUACUCAAAGAACUUCAUUUGAAACUGAAGUCGAUGCUCUCAGACCCUGCUUUAUCAACUUAGCUUAUGGAAUCUUCUAAAUCCUUGGUUGUCACUUCAACAACAUUCAUAGCAUCUUCUCCAGGAGCGGAUUCCAUUUCAAGAAACUACUUUCUUUGCUCAUCCGUAAGAGGCAACUCCUCAUCUGUUCGAGUUUCAUCCUGAGGUUGCCGCAGUUCAGUCAUCUUCAGGCUCCACUCCUAAUUCCCUCCCUAUUUUCACCACACCUGCGGCUCUUCCCUCCGCUGAGGUCUUGAAACCUUCUAACAGUCAUCCCUGAGGGUCGGAAUCAACUUCUUCCAAACCUGUAUGAAUGCUGACCUCCUCCCAGGUACCACGUAUGUUCUUAAUGGCAACUGGAAUCGUGAAUCCUUUCCAGAAGGUGUUCAAUUUGAUUUGGCCAGAUCUAUCAGUAGAUCCAUUAGUAGAGACAGGGUUUCACCAUGUUGGUCAGGCUGGUCUUGAACUCCCGACCUCCGGUGAUCCGCCUGCCUUGG